This 207-nucleotide ribosomal RNA is filed under the name uncultured bacterium. RNAcentral's name for it is "partial 16S ribosomal RNA". It matches the Rfam family "Bacterial small subunit ribosomal RNA", at positions 568 to 774 of the family's 1533-position model. The record is from RNAcentral.
CACGUAGGCGGUCUGCUAAGUCGGGUGUGAAAGCCCUCGGCCCAACCGAGGAACAGCAUUCGAUACUGGCGGGCUAGAGGACAGGAGGGGUGAGCGGAACUCCUGGUGGAACGGUGAAAUGUGUAGAUAUCAGGAGGAACACCGGUGGCGAAAGCGGCUCACUGGCCUGUCUCUGACGCUGAGGUGCGAAAGCUAGGGUAGCGAACG